RNAcentral lists this long non-coding RNA (515 nucleotides) under Elaeis guineensis (African oil palm). RNAcentral describes it as "long non-coding RNA (EGUI_LNC028598)". Lineage: Eukaryota; Viridiplantae; Streptophyta; Magnoliopsida; Arecales; Arecaceae. The record is from RNAcentral.
GCUGGGGAGGAUGACUGAUAUGCCACCAAAAUCGAAUCUGUUGGUUUAUUUUUUGUUUAAUCAUUUUCUCUUCUAAGAUGGUACAUUGGAGCAUACCAUCCUCGAGACCUAUACUCUCAUCUCUGACCGAGCCUAUUUAAGGUACAAAUCCUCUCCACUAUCAAUUAUUUUUGAAUUUCUUCAUAUUCCGUUACUUAUUAUUUUUCUUUAAUCUACUUCUUCCUGUAUUUUUCUCCUCUUCUUCAUGGUUUAUUUUCAUUUUUUUUCCCAUCAUCUUCUCCAAUCCCACCUUCUCCGCAGCCCUAUCCCCAACCCCAACUCUAACUCGAGUUCUAAUCCUAACCCAAUCCCUAACCCUAAUCCUAACCCAAGUUAUAACCCUAACCCCAAUCCUAACCCCACCCCUAAGACUAACCAGACCCUAAACCCUAAUCGAAACCCUAAUCUUGAUCUUAACUGAAGCCAUAACCCUUAACCCUAACCAGAUCCCUAACCCUAAUCCCCACACCCAACCC